Molecule: ribosomal RNA, 453 nt
Filed under: Lobothallia alphoplaca
Lineage: Eukaryota; Fungi; Ascomycota; Lecanoromycetes; Pertusariales; Megasporaceae
Description: eukaryotic LSU rRNA
Rfam family: Eukaryotic large subunit ribosomal RNA
Source: RNAcentral
CGGGGCGUCAUAGAGGGUGAGAAUCCCGUAUGUGGCCGGCGGUCAAUUCCAUGUGAAACCCCUUCGACGAGUCGAGUUGUUUGGGAAUGCAGCUCAAAAUGGGUGGUAAAUUUCAUCUAAAGCUAAAUACCGGCCAGAGACCGAUAGCGCACAAGUAGAGUGAUCGAAAGAUGAAAAGCACUUUGGAAAGAGAGUUAAACAGUACGUGAAAUUGUUGAAAGGGAAGCGCUUGCAACCAGACUUGCUCGCGGGUGAUCAGCCUCCCGUGAGGGGGGCGCACUCGCCCGCGAUCAGGCCAGCAUCGGUUUUGGCGGGCGGAUAAAGUCCCCAGGAAUGUAGCUCCCCUCGGGGAGUGUUAUAGCCUGGGGCGGAAUGCGCUCAACCGGGACCGAGGACCGCGCUUCGGCUAGGAUGCUGGCGUAAUGGUUGUAAGCGACCCGUCUUGAAACACGG